This 1768-nucleotide ribosomal RNA is filed under the name Durio zibethinus. RNAcentral's name for it is "SSU rRNA". It matches the Rfam family "Eukaryotic small subunit ribosomal RNA". Lineage: Eukaryota; Viridiplantae; Streptophyta; Magnoliopsida; Malvales; Malvaceae. The record is from RNAcentral.
CUUGGUUGAUCCUACCAGUAGUGAUGUGUUUGUCUCAAAGAUUAAGCCAUGCAUGUGUAAGUAUGAAACUAUGAAUGGCUUAUUAAAUUAGUUAUAGGUUGUUUGAUGGUAUCUACUACUCAGAUAUUUGUAGUAAUUCUUAAGUUAAUACGUGUAACAAACCCUAAUUUUUGGAAAGGAUGCAUUUAUUAGAUAAAAGGUCGACAUGGGCUUUGCUUAUUGCUCUGAUGAUUCAUGAUAACUCAAUAGAUCAUGUGGCCUUUGCGUCAGUGAUGCACCAUUCAAAUUUCUACCUUAUUAACUUUUAAUGGUAGGAUAGUGGCCUACUAUAGUGGUGACAAAUGAUAGAGAAUUAUGGUUCGAUUCUAGAAAAAGAGCCUGAGAAAUGGCUACCACAUCCAAGGAAUGUAGUCGGCAUGCAAAUUACCCAAUCCUGACAUAAGGAGGUAGUGACAAUAACUAACAAUAUUAGGUCUAUGAGUCUGGUAAUUAGAAUGAGUACAAUCUAAAUCCCUUAAUGAAGAUCCAUUGAAGGGCAAGUCUAGUACCAACAGCCAUGAUAAUUCUAGCUCCAAUAGUAUAUAUUUAAGUUGUUACAGUUAAAAAACUUGUAGUUGGAACUAUAGUUGGGUCUUCUAGUCUGUCUCAUGAUGAGCAUAAGCCUAUUCAUCCCUACUAUUGGUGAUGCACUCCUAGACCUAACUGGUCAAGUCAUUCUUUGACACCAUUACUUUGAAGAAAUUAGAGUGCUCAAAGUAGGCCUACACUUGUAUAAAUUAGCAUGGGAUAAUAUUAAAGGAUUUCAAUCCUAUUGUGUUAGCCUUCAAGAUUCGGAGUAAUGAUUAAUAGGGACAAUCAGAGGCAUUCAUAUUUCAUUGUCAGAUGUGAAAUUCUUGGAUUUAUAAAGAUGAGCAAUUGUGAAAGCAUUUGCCAAUGAUGUUUUCAUUAAUCAAGAAUGAAAGUUGAGGGCUCAAAGAAAUCAAAUAUUGUCUUAGUCUCAACCAUAAAUGAUACCGAGCAAGGAUCAGUGAAUGUUACUUUUAAGACUUAGCCGACACCUUACGAGAAGUCAAAGUCUUUAGGUUCUACGAGAGUAUGGUUGUAAAACUUAAAGGAAUUGACAAAAAGGCACCACUAAGAGUGGAGCCUACGACUUAAUUUGACUAAACAUGAAAAAACUUACCAAUCUAAACAUUGUAAGGAUUGACAAACUGAAAGCUCUUUCUUAAUUUUAUGGGUGGUGGUGCAUGGUCAUUUAGUUGGUGAAGCGAUUUGUUUGGUUAAUUUCAUUAAACGAACAAGACCUUAGCCUACUAACUAGCUAUGUGGAGGUGAUCUUUCAUGGCUAGCUUCUUAGAAGGACUAUGGUUGCUUAGGCCAAGGAAGUUUAAGGUAAUAAUAGGUUUACUAUUCCUUUAGAUGUUCUAAGCCAUAUGCUCACUAUACUAAUGUAAUCAACGAGUGUAUAGCCUUGGCCAACAAGCCUAGAUAAUCUUUGAAAUUUCAUCAUGAUGGGGAUAGAUCAUUGUAAUUGUUAGUCUUCAAUGAGGAAUUCCUAGUAAGCGUGAGUCAUAAGCUGGCAUUGACUAUGUCCUACCCUUUAUACUCACCACCCAUCGCUCUUACCAAUUGAAUGGUCAGAUGAAGUAUUCAGAUCGUUGCAACUUAAACAAUUUAUUGCCUAUAAUGCCAAGAGAAGCCCACUAAAUCUUACCAUUUAGAGGAAGGAAAAGUCAUAACAAGGUUUUCAUAGGUGAACCAUGGAAGG